ACAGAGGGUGCAAGCGUUAAUCGGAAUUACUGGGCGUAAAGCGCGCGUAGGUGGUUCGUUAAGUUGGAUGUGAAAUCCCCGGGCUCAACCUGGGAACUGCAUUCAAAACUGACGAGCUAGAGUAUGGUAGAGGGUGGUGGAAUUUCCUGUGUAGCGGUGAAAUGCGUAGAUAUAGGAAGGAACACCAGUGGCGAAGGCGACCACCUGGACUGAUACUGACACUGAGGUGCGAAGGCGUGGGGAGCAAACAGG
RNAcentral lists this ribosomal RNA (252 nucleotides) under uncultured Pseudomonas sp. Its description in RNAcentral is "partial 16S ribosomal RNA". It matches the Rfam family "Bacterial small subunit ribosomal RNA", at positions 525 to 776 of the family's 1533-position model. Lineage: Bacteria; Pseudomonadati; Pseudomonadota; Gammaproteobacteria; Pseudomonadales; Pseudomonadaceae. The record is from RNAcentral.